GGACACUGGAAUAUCACUGGCUGUUUGUUUGGAAAAGUCUUUCAGUGUUACUUGACUAAACUGACUCAUGGUGGAAUAAAAAAACCAUACGAACAGACGCUUAACCUGGCAAAUACCGGCGAGGCCUGAACUGCACAGAGGCGAACAGUGAAUUACUUAGGUGAAGUCACAGACUCCCUUCGUGCAUGUAACCUCAGCGGAAGGCGAAAGUUAAAAUAACUGAGUCCUGUGAAAAUAAUUUACCAGAUGAACAUCUUGAAAAAAGUGGAGUUGCCAAAGUCUUUAAA
Pseudophryne corroboree (corroboree frog) is the source of this 287-nucleotide long non-coding RNA. RefSeq lists it as uncharacterized. NCBI's taxonomy places the organism in Eukaryota, Metazoa, Chordata, Amphibia, Anura, Myobatrachidae. The record is from RefSeq and is a predicted model, not a curated record. The transcript is spliced from 3 exons.